AGGCCCUACGGGACGCAGCAGUGAGGAAUAUUGGUCAAUGGGAGAGAUCCUGAACCAGCCAAGCCGCGUGAGGGAAGACGGCCCUAUGGGUUGUAAACCUCUUUUGUCGGAGAACAAAACCCGGGACGAGUCCCGGACUGCGUGUAUCCGAAGAAAAAGCAUCGGCUAACUCCGUGCCAGCAGCCGCGGUAAUACGGAGGAUGCGAGCGUUAUCCGGAUUUAUUGGGUUUAAAGGGUGCGUAGGCGGUCCGUUAAGUCAGCGGUAGAUUUGCGGGGCUCAACCCCGUCGAGCCGUUGAAACUGGG
Molecule: ribosomal RNA, 305 nt
Filed under: uncultured bacterium
Lineage: Bacteria
Description: bacterial SSU rRNA
Rfam family: Bacterial small subunit ribosomal RNA
Source: RNAcentral